Long non-coding RNA from Grus americana (Whooping crane), 6270 nucleotides. RefSeq lists it as uncharacterized. NCBI's taxonomy places the organism in Eukaryota, Metazoa, Chordata, Aves, Gruiformes, Gruidae. The record is from RefSeq and is a predicted model, not a curated record. The transcript is spliced from 6 exons.
GCGGUGGGAGAGAGCACAGCCGGCUGCUGGUCAAAUAAUCGGAUUUCUUCCCUCCUUGUGGCCUCUCUCUCUGUGCUUGGGAGAGCUCGUUCAGAGUCCUCCACCGGCUGCCUGAGGCUGAGCUUCCAUCCUGGAUCUGACAGCGUGUGAUUUACAAAGGGCUCUACGUCCCGUGUAAGCCAGAUGACUCCAGCACAUCAGCUACAAGCUGUUUUCACAGACCCUGAAAGAGAGACUCCAUAUUCCUGCCUCAGCUCCUGCACCAUCUGGUCUUUCCCGUUGAGAGCCUCUGGCUGAGGUCUCCAGAGGAGCGUACGUCUUCUCGGCUGCGCUGGCUCACGUACCGCAGCUGCAUCACGGACAACGGCGCUGUUUCUUUCUCUUCCCGAUUGCUGCUUUGUCUCCUCACAUGUUACAGCUCUUCCUUCCCGUUUCUUCCUGCUCUGUAGAGAACACCUCCAUUCUACAAAAAUACAGCAAUACAAGAACUGAUAGUUAUCACAGUGCCUAGGAGUGAGAAAGGAAAUCCUUCCACAGGAGCUCAGGGAGGACUGCUUCUACACAGCACCAAGUCUGUACCCACCCGCCGCUGCCGGCUCCUCGCAGAAGAGAGGUUGAGGAACGAGAAAAGGUGACACCCAGCCGGCGGAGGCUUGUGCAAACAGCCGGUGAGCUGGGACGGUGUCUGCAGCCGCAGUCUGAGAGGGAAGCCAAGCAGCAGCGUGAUGCUGUGCAGAGCACGACGUACGUCCACUGCAACAGGCAACUGCAUGUCGGGAGACGCUGAGAAGAUAUCACUUCAGCAAACAUAUAUGGUCACGACUGCCUGAUUAAAAGCAAGCAGAAGGGUUGUGUUUGGGGUUUUUUUUCCAUAUAAUAAUACUAUGAAACAGUUGUGUAAAAUUGAGAACCUCAUCAAUAUUACAUCUGCAACAGAUGGCGAAAACCUCCCUGCAUGGACAAAUAAUCCAUUUAGUUCUUCAGACAAGAUCUCCAGUGCCAGAUGUAGUAUCUGGCCUUUUGAUUCAGCGUUGAGAUACACCAGUUGAAAACCACAGCCAGCCAAACAACUCCCUGUUGACCCCACGUCUACGCAGGAGCAUACACAAGCCAUGCUCUAGAUUCGAAUCCUAUUGAAUCUGAAUUAUUAGCCCAGCACUCAAGCAGCUAUUUUCAUGACAAGCCUUCUGUCGCCUGCAGGGAUCCCUGGAUACAAAUGCCCCAAAGGGGACGUCCCGACACAGGCUGCAGGAGAGACGGAGCGAGAGACCUGGACACUGCUAGUGGAAGACCACGAGACAUCUCCUCCUCUUCGGCUUUGCUCCUGUUUGGAAAAUCAGUGGAUGGACGUGUUGUGCCGUGUCCCCAGCUGUACGCACCCUCUGGCUCCCACCCCAUCCCACGUUGGAUGGAGCGCGGUGGCUUGUCCAUGUGCACCUACGCAGGACGUCAGCUCCCUGCUCCCAGACCACGUUGCUUGAUUUCUCUGUCUCUUGCUGUUCAGAAUGCGCCUCCUGCACAUCUGGGCGAUGGCAUUUAAAUCCUCCCCAUCCAGGGAGCGUCCCUGCCUGUUGACAGACGGUCUGUACUGAAGUUCUGCGCAGCGGUACGAGCCGCGGGGCACGCCGGACCGCAGCCUGGCUGGUGCAGGGCUGGGGGGCAAAUGAUUAACCCUGUCUCUCUUCUGCUCUUUGCACCGAGGUUCCGGACUUGCCUUGUUCCUGCGAUCGCUACACUAGCGAAGCUGCUGUUGAAGCCAGCCAGCUCUCCCUGGCUGUAUAUCCUGAAAUUCAGAGUCAAUACGGUUCAACCCUAAAAAUACAAGCUCUCUGCUUUAAUGCCUAUGUAGCAAAUGUUAAUAGCUGUAACCACCUCAUAAUAUGAAUAAUUUGGGAUAAUAUGAAUUUGUGCUCUCAUUUUGGUGCAAUCACUCAUGUUUAUGUUGAACUUUUAAUUUAGUAUACAUUUUUUUAAAAAGGACAUGAUAUGAAGCGGUUCUGCCUUGUCCACACAAGCUACCAAAUCAAAUUGUUUGCCCUCUUCUAGGUAGAAGUUGUCUCCAGGAAGAAAUUCUAUAAUGUUGUCUCUGUGCUGUGCGUUGUACAGAGUCUCUUUUUUCUGUUUUUAUCACAUUCAUGGCAAAAUGCUAAAUCUGGUUUUGACCCAGAUCUAUACAAAUUACUGUAGCAAUAGGGUUGGAAUCUAUGUAGGUACAUACUUACGAAGCAAAGAAGGACAAACCUAUGGCUGCAAAAAAUGCUGUAACGGCACUUGUGAAAUUAGUGACACUAGCAAAGACAGUGCAAGAGAAAAUCAUGAUAAUGUUUUAUAAGAAGGAAACAGAGCAUGGUUUCUUGCCCUCCUAGAUUUAGCAGAUGGAUUCUCGCACGCUGCAUUGCUAAAGCACCCGUUGCCCUAAUGGCUUGGGGAUGGAAGAACGUUUGCCCACAUGAAGUAACACAAGCGUGCUAGUUCAUGCUUUGAGGAUCGCUGCAUUCUCAAAAACAAUGAAUAAGAGCAGGAGUGUUAAUUUUGGAGUGGCAAUUUUGCUACUCUGAGUCCUAUCCUGUGUUGUCAGACCAAGCAGCAGCAAACAAAGCAGAGGUUUUCUGCCAGAGACAGGGAGAUCCAAAAUCACUGAGCUUUUCCAUGUUUGUGAGUGAUUAAUGUGACAAUUCAUGAGGCUUUAAUGUAAGGAAGGGAUAGAAAUGGCUUAGCCCCAAGAUCAUGAAAUUUCUGUGGAGCAGAAUUGCUGAAAUGAUUUAGCAGAGGACUAAAUAAUGUAACUAACCUUAUGCACAGCUGUGAAAUCACUUCUAUCUGUUUAUUUAAAAUGACAAAUCACAUAAAUGUGUGUACAUAUCUGUGCUGUGCCAAAUUUUAUCACUCCCAUGUAAGACCUUUUCUCUCAUGAAAACAUCACUGCAGGUCAAUUUUGGCAGACCCACACUGUAGAAACAUCAUGUUCCCAUCAUGAAAGCACCGUGUCAUGAACUGAAGCUGUUUUACCCCCUGGACUGGGGGAUCCCCUGGUUCUGGGACCCGCUCCGCUCUCCAGGCUGCCAGCUCAGGCACUCGCCUGCCGUGGCCAUGACCCCCCGUCAGCCUUUCUUUCCAUCUCCCACCUUAAAUGUGCUGGCCCCUGCCCGCUUUCUACUCCCACCCCCUCUUUCCAGGCUGGCUUUGCCUAAGAGGGUUGUGUCCUAUCUAGAAAUCUAUGAAUUAAACCCACAAGUUAGGUACAAUUUAAGAGGUCUGACCAGCUUCUCCUUUGCUCCCUGAAUACAUCAGUCUGACCCUCAUCCCAACCAAGGAGCUUGAUGUGGUCAGCCUUAAAAGCGGGGGCAAACCGUUGUUGCCACAGCUGCUCUGAAGGACUCGGAGGUUUCGGUUAAGUACUCUCCAAUGCUUUUGGGUGAGCUUGUGCAGUUUCUCCUACUGCCAAGCCAUGGUUGCUUUGUCUCCUUCCCCCGUGAGCCAGCGGUGGGGAACGGUGCAGCUCCUCAAAAAGAUACAACCUGGCUAUAAGCAAUCAUCUCUUUUUUUUUUUAAUUUUUUUUAUUUGACUCAACUUUGGCAAAGGCAAGUUGGCUGGGGCUGGAGUACGGGCUGCAUCUUCUGUAUCUGAAAGAUGCUAAAAGCUGCCAGGUCGUGCAAAGUCUCGUGGGUGACGCAUCAUUAAAGCAGCUUGUGAGCAGCAAAACUUCCCCGAGCGCAGCGAGCCCCGCUGCUGAGCUCCUCCAGGUGUCAAGGAAAGGGGAGCCUGCCCCAUGCUAAUUAAAACUCUUUUCUCAACUUCUCCUUGGCAAGGUGCAAAGAAAUCCUUUUUUCAUGUUCAACGACUAAAAAUAAAUCCUAUUUUGGAUUUCAGAAGCAGCCGCAUGACUAAAAUGAGCCGUUCGAUUUCAUUCAUGUUUGCUGUCUAUUAAUCUGUUCUCCUCACCCUCAGCAGGGUAUGACUCAGGGCUUCGCAUUGUCUUCCUCCCGAAACUAUCUGUGUUUUGACUUUAAAUCCUGCCGUCUGACGCAAAGCAGUGCUGAAAUCAUGACAGUUUGAUCCAGCCAGUUCCCAGGAGGCUCUUGAUCUUUACUGGCUGGUAAAUGUAGCGCUCAGAAUAGCUAUGCGGAGCAGAUAUUGAUAUUUUUACACCAAAUGUUGGUAAGCAGAUGUCACACACUUGUGAAGAGCCUUGAAACUCCACGGGAGAAAAUAUGUGAGUAUGUAUGUGGGGGAGGCCCAGAGACAAAAAUAAUGUGGUGGUUAUAUGAGAAGACAUAUAUUCCGUAAUCUGGUGGUGUUUUGCUAUUCCUGUUGAUCGUACUCAAACCGGAGGCUGCGCUGGAACAAGUAAAACGGGAAACUCUGUCCCCGUCCAUGCUCCUGCUGCUUUUACACGCUCCUUCCCGCAGAGGCUUCUGUCCUCCUCCAGCGCUGGCUGAGCCGGCGGGUCCCAUCCACCUGCCGGGAGCAGAGGGUCUGUGCCGCGGUGGACCCCAGCUGCGCCAGGCUCGAGGGUCGGUCAUUGGGCAGGGAGGAGCAGGGGCAGCAGGGCCGGGCUCCUCCAGCACUCACUGCCGAAAACAAAAGGCACUCCUAGAGGGGACAGAGCCCUGGGGCAGGGCUCAGAACCAAGCCUCAGGUGACCCCAGCAUGGCACAGGAAGGCCGAGCCCAGAGCAGCGUUUGCCAUUACAAACCAGUUUCAGUUUGUGGUUGUGCAGCGUGGCCGGGCCAGGGGGGCUCCCGCAGGCGGGCGUGCAUGGCGGGACAGCCUGCCCGGUGCCCUCAGCGACGCUGCCGCGCCGGCUCGGCCGCCCCCUCGGGCCGGGUGCCCGUGGAGGCUCCUGCGUGGGGGCCGCUCGCCCCCCCGGCGCCAAGGAAGCUUCACGCGUGGGGAGUGCCCGGCGCUCAGGCGGUGUGAGGGGGGUAAGGGAACCCCCGCGGCACGAGAGGCUCGUGCUGAAGUAGCGACACUCGCAAGGUUGUUGGUGUGUCCGCGUUGCAAAGAUGGAGGCACCCAUGUCUCAGAGGGAGCGCUCAAAUCUUGCCCUAAGGCUCCUCUUUCUAUUUUUUUUUUUUAAGUGCAGGCAGCAUGAAAUCCUGAACGUGUCAAUGUUGGGUGAAAGUCAGGAUUGGUUUGGGUUUUUGUUUGUUUUGGUUUUUUUUUUUCUUUUCCUUUAGCAAACUCCGUUCCUGAAGCAUCCCUACGGAGCGAGCAGCACACCGUGAGGGAGGCGUGCCGGCCAGGCCGGCGCUGAACCCACUUACUGCCCUUGCGGUGUGGGGUAAAGCCCGGUGAUCCCCAGCCACCAGGCGCUUGCCCUGACACCCUGCUUUGAAAGGACCGUGGUUACAAACUGCAAAGCCCUUGUUUUUCCUCACAAUGUUGUAUUUUUCUCUCCCCUUACAAGUUUGGUAAUGAAAUUUGAGCCAUUUAUUAUGUACUAAAUUUAGGGAGGCCAAGAAUAUUUGCAUACAAAUAUGUUUGAUCUUCCAAGCAUGCAAAAUGAGCAGAAAAUAACAAGUCUGAUGUUGGACCCAAGCAGAGUUCAAGGAUUUUAAAAUUAAAAUAAUUUAAAAGAAUCUAUAUCCAUGAUGGCAGAUGAACUUUUUCUGAGGAAAGAAAACCUCCCCCUUCUCGUUACAUACGGAAUGAAUGCAGAUAUUCAAGUCAGAUAUGGACUGAAUUUUAAAUGUGACAAUAGCACUUAUUCUGCAAGAAAUGUCAUGUCUGUAAUGAAUUGUAAGUUAUUUUUAGUUGCCACUGGAAACAGGGGAAGGGGGGGAAAACUAAUCAAUAUUGACACAACCCCACUUUAUUUUUAAGCAGUACUGAUCUCUGGUGACACCAGACAGAGGAGGAGAGAGCUAGAACCGAAGCAAACUGCACAAACUGCAAACUGUUUUGCUGUUUAGAAAAGAGCCACAGCAGCCAGACCGAUGUGCUGCCUGCUGCUGCGCAUUACUGCUGCGAUGGUCAUGCCACAGCGUUCAUCGGGUCAUCCUCCGAUGCGAGCUGGGCACGUGUGGCGGGAGGCGGGUCUCGCCAGGAACGGUGGUGGUGCUUGCCACCGUCACCCCGCCAGUGCUGGCGCUGGGGACGGGGCACAAGGCAACGACACCGAGCCCCAUGUUGGACCUUGCUACCGCCUGAAGUCCAGUUGUCUGACUUUUCUUUCUCCAUUGACUUUAGGGAUGAUGAUCUUCUAGCUGGGCGUGACACCACACGGUGGGCUGGAGUCCUCUUGCCUCUGUUUGCUGCCGUGAUGU